RNAcentral lists this ribosomal RNA (253 nucleotides) under uncultured bacterium. RNAcentral describes it as "partial 16S ribosomal RNA". It matches the Rfam family "Bacterial small subunit ribosomal RNA", at positions 524 to 776 of the family's 1533-position model. The record is from RNAcentral.
UACGUAGGGUGCGAGCGUUAAUCGGAAUUACUGGGCGUAAAGCGUGCGCAGGCGGUGAUGUAAGACAGAUGUGAAAUCCCCGGGCUUAACCUGGGAACUGCAUUUGUGACUGCAUCGCUGGAGUGCGGCAGAGGGGGAUGGAAUUCCGCGUGUAGCAGUGAAAUGCGUAGAUAUGCGGAGGAACACCGAUGGCGAAGGCAAUCCCCUGGGCCUGCACUGACGCUCAUGCACGAAAGUGUGGGGAGCAAACAGG